This 42-nucleotide ribosomal RNA is filed under the name Gongora sp. SRR-2011. RNAcentral describes it as "partial 26S ribosomal RNA". The record is from RNAcentral. Lineage: Eukaryota; Viridiplantae; Streptophyta; Magnoliopsida; Asparagales; Orchidaceae.
GNGACCCCAGGAUGGGCGAGGCCACCCGCCGAGUUUAAGCAU